CAGUCGAGCGAACUGAUUAGAAGCUUGCUUCUAUGACGUUAGCGGCGGACGGGUGAGUAACACGUGGGCAACCUGCCUGUAAGACUGGGAUAACUUCGGGAAACCGAAGCUAAUACCGGAUAGGAUCUUCUCCUUCAUGGGAGAUGAUUGAAAGAUGGUUUCGGCUAUCACUUACAGAUGGGCCCGCGGUGCAUUAGCUAGUUGGUGAGGUAACGGCUCACCAAGGCAACGAUGCAUAGCCGACCUGAGAGGGUGAUCGGCCACACUGGGACUGAGACACGGCCCAGACUCCUACGGGAGGCAGCAGUAGGGAAUCUUCCGCAAUGGACGAAAGUCUGACGGAGCAACGCCGCGUGAGUGAUGAAGGCUUUCGGGUCGUAAAACUCUGUUGUUAGGGAAGAACAAGUACAAGAGUAACUGCUUGUACCUUGACGGUACCUAACCAGAAAGCCACGGCUAACUACGUGCCAGCAGCCGCGGUAAUACGUAGGUGGCAAGCGUUAUCCGGAAUUAUUGGGCGUAAAGCGCGCGCAGGCGGUUUCUUAAGUCUGAUGUG
This is a ribosomal RNA of 556 nucleotides. It matches the Rfam family "Bacterial small subunit ribosomal RNA", at positions 59 to 596 of the family's 1533-position model.